UUCGCUAGUAAUCGCGCAUCAGCCAUGGCGCGGUGAAUACGUUCCCGGGCCUUGUACACACCGCCCGUCAAGCCAUGGGAGCCGGGGGUGCCUGAAGUUCGUGACCGCAAGGAGCGUCCUAAGGUAAAACCGGUGACUGGGGCUAAGUCGUAACAAGGUACC
This 162-nucleotide ribosomal RNA is filed under the name uncultured bacterium. RNAcentral describes it as "partial 16S ribosomal RNA". It matches the Rfam family "Bacterial small subunit ribosomal RNA", at positions 1331 to 1500 of the family's 1533-position model. The record is from RNAcentral.